AUUGAACGCUGGCGGCAGGCCUAACACAUGCAAGUCGAGCGGAUGAGUGGAGCUUGCUCCAUGAUUCAGCGGCGGACGGGUGAGUAAUGCCUAGGAAUCUGCCUGGUAGUGGGGGACAACGUUUCGAAAGGAACGCUAAUACCGCAUACGUCCUACGGGAGAAAGUGGGGGAUCUUCGGACCUCACGCUAUCAGAUGAGCCUAGGUCGGAUUAGCUAGUUGGUGAGGUAAAGGCUCACCAAGGCGACGAUCCGUAACUGGUCUGAGAGGAUGAUCAGUCACACUGGAACUGAGACACGGUCCAGACUCCUACGGGAGGCAGCAGUGGGGAAUAUUGGACAAUGGGCGAAAGCCUGAUCCAGCCAUGCCGCGUGUGUGAAGAAGGUCUUCGGAUUGUAAAGCACUUUAAGUUGGGAGGAAGGGCGAGUAAGUUAAUAACCUUGCUGUUUUGACGUUACCAACAGAAUAAGCACCGGCUAACUUCGUGCC
This 488-nucleotide ribosomal RNA is filed under the name uncultured bacterium. RNAcentral describes it as "bacterial SSU rRNA". It matches the Rfam family "Bacterial small subunit ribosomal RNA", at positions 30 to 509 of the family's 1533-position model. The record is from RNAcentral.